Molecule: non-coding RNA, 21 nt
Organism: Caenorhabditis elegans
Lineage: Eukaryota; Metazoa; Nematoda; Chromadorea; Rhabditida; Rhabditidae
Source: Ensembl
UUCAUUGGAAGCAUAACUCGA